Molecule: ribosomal RNA, 659 nt
Filed under: uncultured Alphaproteobacteria bacterium
Lineage: Bacteria; Pseudomonadati; Pseudomonadota; Alphaproteobacteria
Description: bacterial SSU rRNA
Rfam family: Bacterial small subunit ribosomal RNA
Source: RNAcentral
AACGAACGCUGGCGGCAUGCCUAACACAUGCAAGUCGAACGAACCCUUCGGGGUUAGUGGCGCACGGGUGCGUAACGCGUGGGAAUCUGCCCUUUGCUUCGGAAUAACAGUUAGAAAUGACUGCUAAUACCGGAUGAUGUCUUCGGACCAAAGAUUUAUCGGCAAAGGAUGAGCCCGCGUAGGAUUAGGUAGUUGGUGGGGUAAAGGCCUACCAAGCCGACGAUCCUUAGCUGGUCUGAGAGGAUGAUCAGCCACACUGGGACUGAGACACGGCCCAGACUCCUACGGGAGGCAGCAGUGGGGAAUAUUGGACAAUGGGCGAAAGCCUGAUCCAGCAAUGCCGCGUGAGUGAUGAAGGCCUUAGGGUCGUAAAGCUCUUUUACCCGGGAUGAUAAUGACAGUACCGGGAGAAUAAGCCCCGGCUAACUCCGUGCCAGCAGCCGCGGUAAUACGGAGGGGGCUAGCGUUGUUCGGAAUUACUGGGCGUAAAGCGUACGUAGGCGGUUAUUCAGGUCAGAGGUGAAAGCCCGGGGCUCAACCCCGGAACGGCCUUUGAAACUAGGUAGCUAGAGUCUUGGAGAGGUCAGUGGAAUUCCGAGUGUAGAGGUGAAAUUCGUAGAUAUUCGGAAGAACACCAGUGGCGAAGGCGACUGACUGGA